This is a regulatory RNA element of Erwinia sp., 62 nucleotides long. It matches the Rfam family "DnaX ribosomal frameshifting element". Rfam says of the family: This family represents a ribosomal frameshifting element found in the mRNA of the dnaX gene in E. coli. The dnaX gene has two encoded products tau and gamma which are produced in a 1:1 ratio. The record is from Rfam. Lineage: Bacteria; Pseudomonadati; Pseudomonadota; Gammaproteobacteria; Enterobacterales; Erwiniaceae.
AGCAGGGAGUAUCCCGGCCAAAAAAGAGUGAGCCGGCAGCGCCUGUAGCGCGGCCGGCAAUC